GUCCAUGGCCAUGCCACUCUGAACAAGCCGGAUCCUGUCUGAUCUUGGAAGCUAGGCAGGGUUGGUCCUGGUUAGUACUUGGAUGAGAGACCACCUAGAAAGACCAUGUGCUGUAGGCG
RNAcentral lists this ribosomal RNA (119 nucleotides) under Pteropus alecto (black flying fox). The record is from RNAcentral. Lineage: Eukaryota; Metazoa; Chordata; Mammalia; Chiroptera; Pteropodidae.